UGUUGGAGAAAAAGGGCAUUUGAAACGAGGGAAGGUGUAGGUGGCGGAAGCCCCCGAGCCCCGAAGACCCAGCGCGGCUGGCUGCCAGCCCCUCUCCAGGGACGCUGGCCCAUGAAAGGCAGACAGGAAGAGAGACCAAGAGAGCUCACAAACGGGGCGUCCUCCCACCUGAGGGAGGAUUCAGGGCUCAACACGCUUCCUGGGGCCAGUUGUUCUCUGCCGGUGCCAGCCCUGACAUCAGCCCGCAAGCUUGCCACGCUGGUUCAGACCCGACCCCAAAGGCCGCCCCUGACCCGGCCCUGGCUCGCCGACCGACCACCCCCAGAACGCCGGCUGUGGUGCUGCUGCUGGAGGGGGCGCCGGUGGAUGAGACCUGAGGUGUCCCAGACCCGCUAGCCUGGGGGCCUGGGGAAUCCAGCUUGACCGAAAGAGAGAACUCGUGCAGUGGGGAUUGCUACUUUCAGAAGGAAACUGGAGAAGGUCGUGAACAUUCACCCCAGUCCUUUUUAUCCAGCGAGAUUCACGCCUGGAAAACUGCUGUCUGGUCAGAAAGACUUUGCUGAGAAGAGCCAAGAGCUGAAACCCAGCCGAGGUGUUUCAGGAAAGAGGAGGACCACACAUCCCCAUUCAUUGACAUGUGACCACAGAGGAUCCCUCCCUGCCACUUCCAGGCUUGGCCAUGUGACCUGCCUUGGCUGGUGGAAUAUGAAUGGAUACGACAGAAGCCAUGUCUCUGCAACUUUGAGAGCAGUUACAUGGCUUGGUUCUGCCUCUUGUUCUUUUCCCUUUGCCAAGAGAACACAAUGUCUUGACUGUGGGCUGCUCCUUCAGCACAUGUCCCAGAACGAGAAGGAGCAUGGAGCAGAGCCACAGUGGCCACCAUGCAGCUCUCAACACGAGCAAGAUUGAAGCUGAUUUUUGUUACUGCAGCACAACUUAGCAAGCUCUGACAAAUACAGAAGGCUCUACUGGACAUCUCGGGGUAUAUCUAUCCAGCUUUCCUUCCUCCCAAAUGGAGACCACAAUGCUGCCACCUACAAGCUGUGUGAUUUUGAGAAAAAUCACAGAACGUCUUGGCCUCAAAUUUCUACACUAACAGACAGAGCUUUCUCCCAGCUUUCUGACCAGCAAUUCUGAAGAACUAGCCUAUCACUUGACACUUGACCCCUGUCGUUCAUGAGUUAUCUUUGCACGUGGUAGUAUCAUACCAGGGAAGUCCCCCCAAAUUUUGAGUCCAACAGCUAUGUAUUCUUGAGCAAAUUGUUUUAUCUCUCUUAUCUGUAAAAUUUUUCUCCUCUAUUAAAGGAAAAUGCAUCACACAGCAUUGGGGUAUGUCAUCUAGCUCAUAGAAUGUACUCAAUAAAUCGAAGUGCCCUCCCUUUCUCUUACCUUCUUGAUCAGAUUGAGUCCUUUGAGAUACACUUCUUUGAGUCUGACAUGCCCUGAACCUGGGGUUUCCUCAGGGAGGGGGUGACAAAAUCCCUGGAUAAAAACCCACAGAGGUGUAUGCAGAUAUUCAUAGCAGCAUUAUUCAUAAAGGUCCAAAAGUGCAAACAA
Molecule: long non-coding RNA, 1557 nt
Organism: Equus caballus (horse)
Lineage: Eukaryota; Metazoa; Chordata; Mammalia; Perissodactyla; Equidae
Source: RefSeq, a predicted model, not a curated record